This 420-nucleotide ribosomal RNA is filed under the name uncultured soil bacterium. Its description in RNAcentral is "bacterial SSU rRNA". It matches the Rfam family "Bacterial small subunit ribosomal RNA", at positions 55 to 491 of the family's 1533-position model. The record is from RNAcentral.
AUGCAAGUCGAACGAGAAAGUGGAGCAAUCCAUGAGUAAAGUGGCGACCGGGUGAGUAACACGUGACCAAUCUACCCUUGAGUGGGGGAUAACCUCGGGAAACCGGGGCUAAUACCGCAUAAUAUCCCUGGAACGGAAGUACUGGGGAUCAAAGGAGCAAUUCGCUUAAGGAGGAGGUCGCGGCUGAUUAGCUAGUUGGCGGGGUAAUGGCCCACCAAGGCAAAGAUCGGUAGCCGGCCUGAGAGGGCGCACGGCCACACUGGAACUGAAACACGGUCCAGACUCCUACGGGAGGCAGCAGUGGGGAAUUUUGCGCAAUGGGGGAAACCCUGACGCAGCAACGCCGCGUGGAGGAUGAAGUCCCUUGGGACGUAAACUCCUUUCGACCCGGACGAUAAAGACGGUACGGGUGGAAGAAGC